RNAcentral lists this ribosomal RNA (293 nucleotides) under uncultured eukaryote. Its description in RNAcentral is "partial 18S ribosomal RNA". It matches the Rfam family "Eukaryotic small subunit ribosomal RNA", at positions 6 to 304 of the family's 1831-position model. The record is from RNAcentral.
GGUUGAUCCUGCCAGUAGUCAUAUGCUUGUUUCAAAGAUUAAGCCAUGCAAGUCUAAGUAUAAGCUAAUUUAUACGGCAAAACUGCGAAUAGCUCAUUACAACAGUUAUAAUUUACACGACGAUCAUUACCAAAUGGAUAUCCAUGGUAAUUCUGGAGCUAAUACAUGCAAAAACACCUGACUCUUACGGAAGGGUGGCAUUCAUUAGUACUCAGAACCAAUCGCGAGCAAUCGUGUAUCUGGUGAUCAUAAUGACGGAGCGGAUCGCAUUUCAUGCGACAGUUCGUUCAAGU